RNAcentral lists this long non-coding RNA (1029 nucleotides) under Cyanistes caeruleus (blue tit). Its description in RNAcentral is "lncRNA (ENSCCEG00000007619.1)". Lineage: Eukaryota; Metazoa; Chordata; Aves; Passeriformes; Paridae. The record is from RNAcentral.
AUGUCCCCUGGCCUCUGCUGUGGAACAGGAGGGAGGAGGGGAAGGAAACUCAGUGCAGUGUCCCAGCACCGCUGUGUGAGCUGGGGAAAGGGCUGGCAGUGCUGGGAAUUGUCCCUUUUCUAUCCCUGCCCCAUCCCCGAUGGCCUCCUGCAGCUCAGGGGCUGUCAGUUCACUUUGACACUGAGAAACCUUGGCUUUGUGUCUCCUCCUGAGCAGCUUGGGCAGGUGGAAGGUGUCUAUGCCCAUGGCAGGGGUCAGAACUGGGUGAUCUGUGAGGUGCCUUCCAACCCAAACCAUUCUAUGUUCUAUUACCAUACCACUGUGUGCCCAGAUCUGUACCCAGCUCUGUGCCCAGCUCUGUACCCAGCUCUGUGCCCAGCUCUGUACCCAGCUCUGUGCUCAGCUCUGUACCCAGCUCUGUACCCAGCUCUGUGCCCAGCUCUGUACCCAGCUCUGUGCCCAGCUCUGUGCCCAGCUCUGUACCCAGCUCUGUACCCAGCUCAGCUCUGUACCCAGCUCUCUGUGCUCAGCUCUCCGUGCCCAGCUCUGUACCCAGCUCUGUACCCAGCUCUGUGCCCAGCUCUGUACCCAGCUCUGUACCCAGCUUUCUCUGCUCAGCUCUUUGCUCAGCUCUGUACCCAGCUCUGUGCCCAGCUCAGCUCUGUACCCAGCUCUCUGUGCCCAGCUCUCUGUACCCAGCUCUGUACCCAGCUCAGCUCUGUACCCAGCUCUCCAUGCCCAGCUCUCCAUGCCCAGCUCCGUGCCCAGCUCCGUGCCCAGCUCUCUGUGCCCAGCUCUGCACCCAGCUCAGCUCUGUACCCAGCUCUCCAUGCCCAGCUCUCCAUGCCCAGCUCCGUGCCCAGCUCCAUGCCCAGCCCGGUGACCGCUGCCCUCUCUUGCAGCUCUGUGAGAAGUGCCAGCAGCCGGUGCCCGGGGACUGUCCCGUGGUGUACGCCGACCGUGCCGGUUACUCCCGGCAGUGGCACCCGGCGUGUUUCGUGUGCUGCCGCUGCGCCGAGCCCCUCGUAG